GGUUUCUGCCCAAUGUGAGGUUACAAAAAGCGAUGAUGCUGCCAUGCAUAUGCCGUCUAGUGUACAUUCCUUCUUAAGUGUAGUACCCAAAAUCCAUCCUUUGGAUCUGUCCAUCACUGCCACAUUCGUCGAUCACCGACAACCCAACUUCCGGUUACCCCUUGCUUGAACCUCCGCACCGGAAAAUCGAUGAGAAUUUUUGUGCCCCCUAUUCAUUGCUGUCGAACUUUCCCUGUGACUGAAAUUAACAUUAACAUACUUGGAAUUGAUAUUUCAUUCUGAAUCCAUCGCCGACGGGUUGGGAUCUCUCCGGAAAAGUGCUGGAUUAUUGUAAUCAGGGUCGCCCACUUCGGUUCUUCGCUUCUUCAUUGUCCACGCGCGUCAACGUCGCCUGGGAGGCAGCU
This 404-nucleotide unclassified non-coding RNA is filed under the name Hevea brasiliensis (rubber tree). Lineage: Eukaryota; Viridiplantae; Streptophyta; Magnoliopsida; Malpighiales; Euphorbiaceae. The record is from RNAcentral.